Molecule: ribosomal RNA, 479 nt
Filed under: uncultured bacterium
Lineage: Bacteria
Description: partial 16S ribosomal RNA
Rfam family: Bacterial small subunit ribosomal RNA
Source: RNAcentral
GAUGAACGCUGGCGGCGUGCUUAACACAUGCAAGUCGAGCGAGAAGUUUUGAAAAGAUUCUUCGGAUGAAAUUUAAAAUGGAAAGCGGCGGACGGGUGAGUAACGCGUAGGCAACCUGCCCCAUACAAAGGGAUAGCAUUUGGAAACGAAUAUUAAUACCUUAUGAAACUUAACUAGUGCAUGCUAGGUAGGUCAAAGAUUUAUCGGUAUGGGAUGGGCCUGCGUCUGAUUAGCUAGUUGGUGAGGUAACGGCUCACCAAGGCGACGAUCAGUAGCCGACCUGGGAGGGUGAACGGCCACAUUGGAACUGAGGCACGGUCCAAACUCCUGCGGGAGGCGGCAGGGGUGAUAAUUGAACAAUGGGGGAAACCCUGAUGCAGCAACGCCGCGUGAACGAUGAAGGCCUUUGGGUCGUAAAGUUCUGUUCUAGGUGAUGAAAACUGACAGUAACCUAGGAGAAAGCCCCGGCUAACUCCGUG